AUCUCAGAGGUUUCCAGGUGAUGUUAAAUAGGACUGGGAAUGAUAUAGAGAAUAUCAGUAUGGCCCCUGCACAAGGAUAACAUACAAAUUCAUGAAGAGUUCCAUAUUUUU
Monodelphis domestica (gray short-tailed opossum) is the source of this 111-nucleotide small nuclear RNA. NCBI's taxonomy places the organism in Eukaryota, Metazoa, Chordata, Mammalia, Didelphimorphia, Didelphidae. The record is from Ensembl.